RNAcentral lists this long non-coding RNA (734 nucleotides) under Fragaria vesca (wild strawberry). RNAcentral describes it as "long non-coding RNA (FVES_LNC001775)". Lineage: Eukaryota; Viridiplantae; Streptophyta; Magnoliopsida; Rosales; Rosaceae. The record is from RNAcentral.
ACAUAACAAUGCAGCAUGUAAUCAUACACCCUUGAAUAUUCAUCUAACUAACAGGAUAUACAAAUCUCAAUACCUCAUUCACUAAGAUUAUGGCUAGUGUUGCGAGGGUUCAUCUAACUAACAGGAUAUACAAAUCUCAAUAGCUCAUUCACUACGAUUAUGGCUAGUGUUGCGAGGGUUGUGAGGUUUGUCCUAUCUGAUUCACUAAGAGUAUUGUGAGGUUUGUCCUAUCUUAUUCACUAAACACAAGGGUUGCGCUCGUUGCGGGACUUAAUCAAACACCUUACGGCACAAGCUGACGACAGCCAUGCACCACCUGUGUCUUACAAAUGUAUUGAACAAUACAUGAGUAAAAACUCACAAUAUUGCUGAUCGGAUUUAAAUUAUCAUAAUGAUCAAACUGAAUCUUUAUGAUAUUUAAAUGAUUAGAAAUAGUUUAACUAGUUGAGAGCCAAUUGUCCUCAUACAGAUACAAAAGAUAUUUGAGAACAGUAAACAUGCUUUCAAGAUGGUUUACACAUGCUUUAUAAAAUAGUGAAGCAAGGUCUGGGAUUUAGAAUACUAUAGUAGUGCACAGAACACAAUCAUAGCAAAAAUGGUAAAAGAACUGGACCAAACUAAAAUCAUCAUCUGAUAGCUCUCAGUUAAAUAUGUGAAAGAUACCAUUGCAAGUCUCAACCACUAAUACAAUUAUAAUGAUGCAAGGCCUCCCUUACCCAACAUUCCCAAUAUAA